AUUGAACGCUGGCGGCAGGCCUAACACAUGCAAGUCGAACGGUAACAGGAAACAGCUUGCUGUUUCGCUGACGAGUGGCGGACGGGUGAGUAAUGUCUGGGAAACUGCCUGAUGGAGGGGGAUAACUACUGGAAACGGUAGCUAAUACCGCAUAACGUCGCAAGACCAAAGAGGGGGACCUUCGGGCCUCUUGCCAUCGGAUGUGCCCAGAUGGGAUUAGCUAGUAGGUGGGGUAACGGCUCACCUAGGCGACGAUCCCUAGCUGGUCUGAGAGGAUGACCAGCCACACUGGAACUGAGACACGGUCCAGACUCCUACGGGAGGCAGCAGUGGGGAAUAUUGCACAAUGGGCGCAAGCCUGAUGCAGCCAUGCCGCGUGUAUGAAGAAGGCCUUCGGGUUGUAAAGUACUUUAAGCGGGGAGGAAGGGAGUAACGUUAAUCCCUUUACUCAUUGACGUUACCCGCAGAAGAAGCACCGGCUAACUCCGUG
This 490-nucleotide ribosomal RNA is filed under the name uncultured bacterium. RNAcentral's name for it is "partial 16S ribosomal RNA". It matches the Rfam family "Bacterial small subunit ribosomal RNA", at positions 30 to 507 of the family's 1533-position model. The record is from RNAcentral.